This 514-nucleotide unclassified non-coding RNA is filed under the name Hevea brasiliensis (rubber tree). Lineage: Eukaryota; Viridiplantae; Streptophyta; Magnoliopsida; Malpighiales; Euphorbiaceae. The record is from RNAcentral.
GCCACCCUCUCUCCAAGUUGUUCCUUUUUUCUCUUUUUUUAAUACGCGGAUAUAGGGCAAUUAGUCAAUGUAUUUGAUUUCUAAUAGCAAGCCAACCAAAAUAGUUCCACUCGAGUCCUUUCACACGGCUUUUGAUUGCUUAUGAUAAAUAAAUUUUCAGUUAUGCAAAAUUGCAAACUGAAAACAAAUAGUUUUUGAGGUUUUAUCCAGGGAUGAAUCCAAAAAAUCUGGUAUUUCUGCUGGCUGCUUCACUCCAAAUUUGUAGCAUAGCAGCACUGACUGACAUGGAUGAUUUUGCUGCAUUGAAGGCUCUUAUGGAUUCGUGGGAAAACACGCCACCUAGCUGGGAAGGUACAGACCCUUGUGGAGACCAAUGGGACGGCAUAAAGUGCAUCAAUUCACGUGUGAAUUCCAUGUAAUUAAUUGGCAAUACUUCAUCUUUUAAUGCUAAUUGAGGCUGGCAAAUUCUUUCUUCUCCUGAUUUUGAGAUUAACCUCACUAUUCUUAAUUGCAG